RNAcentral lists this ribosomal RNA (522 nucleotides) under Salmonella enterica. RNAcentral's name for it is "partial 23S ribosomal RNA". It matches the Rfam family "Bacterial large subunit ribosomal RNA", at positions 711 to 1220 of the family's 2925-position model. RNAcentral also lists the same sequence under 1 other name. Lineage: Bacteria; Pseudomonadati; Pseudomonadota; Gammaproteobacteria; Enterobacterales; Enterobacteriaceae. The record is from RNAcentral.
AGACCCGAAACCCGGUGAUCUAGCCAUGGGCAGGUUGAAGGUUGGGUAACACUAACUGGAGGACCGAACCGACUAAUGUUGAAAAAUUAGCGGAUGACCUGUGGCUGGGGGUGAAAGGCCAAUCAAACCGGGAGAUAGCUGGUUCUCCCCGAAAGCUAUUUAGGUAGCGCCUCGUGAAUUCAUCUCCGGGGGUAGAGCACUGUUUCGGCUAGGGGGCCAUCCCGGCUUACCAACCCGAUGCAAACUGCGAAUACCGGAGAAUGUUAUCACGGGAGACACACGGCGGGUGCUAACGUCCGUCGUGAAGAGGGAAACAACCCAGACCGCCAGCUAAGGUCCCAAAGUCAUGGUUAAGUGGGAAACGAUGUGGGAAGGCCCAGACAGCCAGGAUGUUGGCUUAGAAGCAGCCAUCAUUUAAAGAAAGCGUAAUAGCUCACUGGUCGAGUCGGCCUGCGCGGAAGAUGUAACGGGGCUAAACCAUGCACCGAAGCUGCGGCAGCGAACGUAUCACCCAAGACAACU